This 446-nucleotide ribosomal RNA is filed under the name uncultured bacterium. RNAcentral's name for it is "partial 16S ribosomal RNA". It matches the Rfam family "Bacterial small subunit ribosomal RNA", at positions 338 to 795 of the family's 1533-position model. The record is from RNAcentral.
CCUACGGGAGGCAGCAGUCGAGAAUCAUUCACAAUGGGGGAAACCCUGAUGGUGCGACGCCGCGUGGGGGAAUGAAGGUCUUCGGAUUGUAAACCCCUGUCAUGUGGGAGCAAAUUAAAAAGAUAGUACCACAAGAGAAAGAGACGGCUAACUCUGUGCCAGCAGCCGCGGUAAUACAGAGGUCUCAAGCGUUGUUCGGAUUCACUGGGCGGAAAGCGUGCGUAGGCUGUUUCGUAAGUCGUGUGUGAAAGGCGCGGGCUCAACCCGCGGACGGCACAUGAUACUGCGAGACUAGAGUAAUGGAGGGGGAACCGGAAUGCUCGGUGUAGCAGUGAAAUGCGUAGAGAUCGUGAGGAACACUCGUGGCGAAGGCGGGUUCCUGGACAUUAACUGACGCUGAGGCACGAAGGCCAGGGGAGCGAAAGGGAUUAGAUACCCCAGUAGUC